This 504-nucleotide ribosomal RNA is filed under the name uncultured bacterium. RNAcentral describes it as "partial 16S ribosomal RNA". It matches the Rfam family "Bacterial small subunit ribosomal RNA", at positions 29 to 523 of the family's 1533-position model. The record is from RNAcentral.
AUUGAACGCUGGCGGCAGGCCUAACACAUGCAAGUCGGACGGUAGCACAGAGAGCUUGCUCUCGGGUGACGAGUGGCGGACGGGUGAGUAAUGUCUGGGGAUCUGCCCGAUAGAGGGGGAUAACCACUGGAAACGGUGGCUAAUACCGCAUAACGUCGCAAGACCAAAGAGGGGGACCUUCGAGCCUCCCACUAUCGGAUGAACCCAGAUGGGAUUAGCUAGUAGGCGGGGUAAUGGCCCACCCAGGCGACAAUCCCUAGCUGGUCUGAGAGGAUGACCAGCCACACUGGAACUGAGACACGGUCCAGACUCCUACGGGAGGCAGCAGUGGGGAAUAUUGCACAAUGGGCGCAAGCCUGAUGCAGCCAUGCCGCGUGUAUGAAGAAGGCCUUCGGGUUGUAAAGUACUUUCAGCGGGGAGGAAGGCGGUGCGGUUAAUAACCGCGCCGAUUGACGUUACCCGCAGAAGAAGCACCGGCUAACUCCGUGCCAGCCGCCGCCGUAA